GUGUUCGGCUCUGAGAGCGUCUGUGGGAUUUCGGGCGGAAAUGGGGGGGUAUCAUGUCGGCUAGCUGGUGCGGAGUCUUCUUUAAGAGACCAAGUACCUUGUCCUAGGAGCUCAAGUGGUGUAGCAGUUAAAAUUUUUAAUACUUAAGUACGUACGUAUUUCUUUAAGGAACUCCAUUUUUCCUCAGGCUAGGUAGGGGUUGAAGUUACUGCAUCUCUUUGCCCUUCGCGGUGGCCGGGCUAUUAUUAGCAGCGUGACUAAACCUGGUUGAAUUUCAGAUGCAUCUCCAGAAGCUGGCUGUCUGCAGCCUGCUGGGCUGGGAUCUGCUGAAUGGAGCUUGGGAACUGGGUCACAGCGAAUGCCUCCCGAGGCCUUCCGCACAAGUUCUGGUGUGCCAAGCUGCCUCCGUGAAUUUAUUGAAUGGGAGGAUAUAAUUUUUCCCCAGCUUUAACCUGGAAUUGCAGUAAUUAGGCUUAAAAUUAGAUAACCACCAUUUAUGAGUAAGGUAAACCCUGGAGUUUUAGCAGCAUGUUGUAUUUGGUUAAGGGGGGCCUCUGUGAGAAAGGACCAGGGACUCCUGUGAGAGGCAAAGCUAGCCCCAGGCAGCAGUCAGACCUCCUGCUGGCCAAUGUGGAGCCCAUUGGCAGCAUUGAUGGUGCCUCUGUAAUAUAUUUAGAAAGAGAAAGGUAAGUGCAUAAAGGUGAGAGGGCGACCCUCCCAGGGUCACUGAAGAAGGAGGAGCUCCAGGCCUGAGGCCCAGGAGAGGCUGUGGAUGAGAAGGCUGUCUCCUGCUGCCUCCAGGCACUGCACAGGGCACAUCUCCACGUGAGUUAUGAAGGAGCCCACAGGGCAGCAGUGACUGAGGCAUAAAGGAAAUACAGUCCAUGCAGAGCCCUGCAGGAGACCCUGGGGCAGAGCUGCAGCCCGUGGGGACCCACGUUGGAGCCGUCCAUCAUGAUGUGAAAAGGACUCAUGCUGAACCAGUUUAUAAAAGAGCCACAUGCUUGAGUGGAGGAGGAGUGCAAGGAAAGGGUGGCAGAGAUAACAUGUUAUGAACUGACUUCCACUCACAGUAGCCAUCCUCCUUGCAAUGCUUAGAUCUCUCCACUACACAAAAUAUUGGUGAAUCUUGACAGCAGUCAGCUAGCUUUGAAGGUCUACUGAAAAAAAACUGCUUACUGUUGAUGAAAUGCAAAACUGGAUGAGUUUUAGCAGCCAGAUUCCUGAUUCAAGUUGUGCCUAGAGGCUGCAGCUUUCUUUGUGCAGACUGGGGAUCACAGGAGUAUAGCUUUCUGUUGAGUGCUGCAUUAAUGCUACUCAAGUUCUACAGAAGUGACUCAACAUCCCACAGGCCUGCCAGGAUGACAAGUCACUUGCAGGAUUCAGUGCUGGCUUUGUUACAGAACAGCCGCUGACGACCUUCUCAAUCCCAUCCUGGACUUCAGACUCAUGAAAGUUCUUGUCAGACAACACAAGGCAUCACAAAUAAAGCAGAGUUUUCAAUUAAAGCCAGUGGACUGAUUCAAGAAAUUACUGUUGAUGGGAAUGUUUAAUUUCAGCAAGAGAAUACCAUCUUGCCUUUGGGACUGAGAAGCAAAGUACAUCAUUGUUGUUUCCAGUUGGCCAAGAUUUACUUUAUUUCAGAUAGUGUGUUAGCAUUAAGCCCAGAUAUAUUUCCUACAAUUACAGGCUUUUUGGUAAGUGCAUAGGUUGUCACUUGAAUUGAUAGCUGUAUGGAAAAUAAAUAAACUCUAAACAUAGCUCAGAUGUAGAAUUGUGCUAUAUGCUUUGCUAAUUGAUGAGCACUUGCAUACAUCCUGCAUUAUGGGAUCCUGUGUUGUUUUUAAAAUCAGUGUAUAUUUGUUAAAAUGUCUUCCGUUUAUCUGAUUCCUAAUGCUUACUAUGAUGAAAAAAAUUAAUCUUCAUUUGCAACAGGAAUUUUAUUGUUGUCUUUAAAUGGUCUGAAUCUAAUCUGUAAGUACUUU
Gallus gallus (chicken) is the source of this 1985-nucleotide long non-coding RNA. The record is from Ensembl. NCBI's taxonomy places the organism in Eukaryota, Metazoa, Chordata, Aves, Galliformes, Phasianidae.